UCCUAGCCCCGAUUACAGCGGAAAGCCUUUUGGGAAGAAAACCUAUUUUUUCUUGGUUUGGCAGAGCGACCUUGGGAGCUCCUGAUGAACCUUAGAAAAAAAGGUUUUUGAGCAAAAGCUUGUAGCGAAAAUCGGGAAUAGCU
RNAcentral lists this small RNA (143 nucleotides) under Flavobacterium lacus. RNAcentral describes it as "Flavo-1 RNA". It matches the Rfam family "Flavo-1 RNA". The record is from RNAcentral. Lineage: Bacteria; Pseudomonadati; Bacteroidota; Flavobacteriia; Flavobacteriales; Flavobacteriaceae.